AGAAGCAGGAGGGGGAGAAGGAGAAGAGGAAGAGGAAGAAGAAGGAGGAGAAGGAGGAGGAGGAGGAGGAAGGGGAAGAAGAACAAGAAGAGGAGGAGGAGGAAGAAGAGGAAGAACAAGAAGAAGAAGAAGGAGAGGGAGGGGGAGGAGGAGGGGGAGGAGAAGAAGAAGAAGAAGAAGAAGAAGAAGAAGAAGAAGAAGAAGAAGAAGGAGGAGGAGGAGGAGGAGGAGGAGAAGGGGAGGAAGAAGAAAGUGAGGAAGACAAAGAAGGAAAACAAGAAUAAGAACAGGAGGGAGGAGAAGCAGGAGGGAGAGAAGGAGAAGAGGAAGAGGAAGAAGGAGGAGGAGGAAGAGGAAGAACAAGAAGAAGAAGAAGGAGAGGGAGGGGGAGGAGGAGGGGGAGAAGAAGAAGAAGAAGAAGAAGAGGAAGAAGAAGAAGAAGAAGAAGAAGAAGAAGAAGAAGAAGAAGAAGAAGAAGAAGAAGAAGAAGGAGGAGGAGGAGAGGAAGAAGAAAGGGAGGAAGACGAAGAAGGAGAACAAAAAGAACAAGAACAGGAGGGAGGAGAAGCAGAAGGAGGACGAGGAGUAGGAGAAGGAGGAGGGGGAGGAGGAGAAGAAGAAAAAGAAGGUGGGGGAGGAGGAGAAAGAGGAGGAGGAGGAGAAGGCAGUGAUGAUGAUGUUGAACCUAUUGCUCAAUUUAGGUCUGUGCUUAGUGAUAAACCUACAUCGGAGGCAAUAUUCGCUGCAAUGUGUGAAUGCCAGGCUUUGCAUCCAGAUCCUGAGGGUGAAGAUUCAGACGACCAC
Molecule: long non-coding RNA, 804 nt
Filed under: Lynx pardinus (Iberian lynx)
Lineage: Eukaryota; Metazoa; Chordata; Mammalia; Carnivora; Felidae
Source: RNAcentral